Molecule: transfer RNA, 80 nt
Filed under: Cedecea neteri
Lineage: Bacteria; Pseudomonadati; Pseudomonadota; Gammaproteobacteria; Enterobacterales; Enterobacteriaceae
Description: tRNA-Ser(gct)
Source: RNAcentral
GGCUGGUAUAGGCGAUGAGUUUCACGCCUGCUUGUUUUGCUGCGGCAAUAAUAUUGCUGUGCUGGGUGGCACGCUGGCCA